CACCAAAAGCACAGGAGGCGGGUCUCUUCUAAAUGAUAAUAAAAGUCCCCUUCCCUAAUCAAUAAACAAUUAUAUCACACCUAGUGUGUGCCAGGCACAAA
Molecule: long non-coding RNA, 101 nt
Organism: Sapajus apella (tufted capuchin)
Lineage: Eukaryota; Metazoa; Chordata; Mammalia; Primates; Cebidae
Exons: 3
Source: RefSeq, a predicted model, not a curated record